RNAcentral lists this ribosomal RNA (449 nucleotides) under uncultured bacterium. RNAcentral's name for it is "bacterial SSU rRNA". It matches the Rfam family "Bacterial small subunit ribosomal RNA", at positions 354 to 796 of the family's 1533-position model. The record is from RNAcentral.
GUGGGGAAUCUUGCGCAAUGGGCGAAAGCCUGACGCAGCAACGCCGCGUGAGCGAAGAAGGCCUUCGGGUUGUAAAGCUCUGUCAGGAGGGACGAAGCCACUCGGGUGAAUAGCCCAGAGGGUGACGGUACCUCCAGAGGAAGCCCCGGCUAACUACGUGCCAGCAGCCGCGGUAAUACGUAGGGGGCGAGCGUUGUCCGGAAUCAUUGGGCGUAAAGCGCGUGUAGGCGGCUCGGCAAGUCCGAUGUGAAAGCUCGAGGCUCAACCUCGAGUCUGCAUUGGAAACUGCCCUGCUAGAGUCCGGAAGAGGGGACUGGAAUUCCUGGUGUAGCGGUGAAAUGCGCAGAUAUCAGGAAGAACACCGGUGGCGAAGGCGGGUCCCUGGGACGGUACUGACGCUGAGACGCGAAAGCGUGGGGAGCAAACAGGAUUAGAAACCCGAGUAGUCC